Molecule: unclassified non-coding RNA, 430 nt
Filed under: soil metagenome
Description: partial contains 5.8S ribosomal RNA, internal transcribed spacer 2, and large subunit ribosomal RNA
Rfam family: 5.8S ribosomal RNA (bases 1-120)
Source: RNAcentral
GAUGAAGAACGUAGCGAAAUGCGAUACGUAAUGUGAAUUGCAGAAUUCAGUGAAUCAUCGAAUCUUUGAACGCAUAUUGCGCUCUCUGGUAUUCCGGAGAGCAUGCUUGUUUGAGUAUCAGUAAACACCUCAACUCCCUUUUCUUUUUUGAAAUUGGAGCUGGACUUGAGUGAUCCCAACGCUUUCUUCCAAGAAAGUGGCGGGUUGCUUGAAAUGCAGGUGCAGCUGAACUUUUCUCUGAGCUAUAAGCAUAUCUAUUUAGUCUGCCUAAAAAACAGAUUAUUACCUUUGCUGCAGCUAACAUAAAGGAGACUAGUUCUUGUGCUGACUGAUGCAGGAUUCACAGAGACAGCUUCGGCUGACUUUGUAAACUCGAUCUCAAAUCAAGUAAGACUACCCGCUGAACUUAAGCAUAUCAAUACGCGGAGGA